CAAAAAUAUAUACAUUUUAUAGGCGGAGCAGCAUAUAGACACUGGGUGCCUGGGUCAAGAGAACCCUUACACCUGACCUUUCAGAUCUAGCUUUUAGGAGUACUGAUAUGGUCAGGUGAUCUGGAGCCGAUAUUGCUGUUUCCUGCUUCCCAAUGAGCUAUGAAGAAACACAGUAAGUAAAUAAUGACCACGGAAUCCCAGCCUGAUGAGACGGAGAGCAAUCAAGUUGCUGUUGUCCCCGGUCCUCAGUAGAGAAAGGCUCCCUGGAAUAUUUGGUUUUGUUUGUUAAUGAUUUAUUUUGAUAAUUAAAUGCACUUUGGUGCUGUUUGUAUGCGUCACCCCUGUGGCUGCUACACUCUUCUUCUUCUUUUUACCAUAUUGAGGUGAAGCAAAUACAGGAAAUACUUUUUCAGUCUUUAAAAAGAUUCGUAUUUUUUGUCUACAUCUUUAACACUAGCCUUUGUUUGUGUACUCUCAAGAAAUCCUACACAGCCUGUCCAUACGUCUUGUAUCGUUUUGCUUUCUUACCUCCAGAAGAAACAUCUCUCGCUUCUUGAUAAU
This is a long non-coding RNA of Osmerus eperlanus (European smelt), 561 nucleotides long. RefSeq lists it as uncharacterized. The transcript is spliced from 3 exons. The record is from RefSeq and is a predicted model, not a curated record. Lineage: Eukaryota; Metazoa; Chordata; Actinopteri; Osmeriformes; Osmeridae.